RNAcentral lists this ribosomal RNA (213 nucleotides) under uncultured bacterium. Its description in RNAcentral is "partial 16S ribosomal RNA". It matches the Rfam family "Bacterial small subunit ribosomal RNA", at positions 524 to 733 of the family's 1533-position model. The record is from RNAcentral.
UACGGGGGGGGGCAAGCGUUGUUCGGAAUUACUGGGCGUAAAGGGUGCGUAGGCGGUCUGUUAAGUUAGAUGUGAAAACUCUGGGCUCAACCCAGAGCCUGCAUCUAAAACUGGCAGGCUAGAGUUCUGGAGGGGGGUAGCGGAAUUCCUGGUGUAGCGGUGAAAUGCGUAGAUAUCAGGAGGAACACCGGUGGCGAAGGCGGCAUACCUGGA